Molecule: ribosomal RNA, 475 nt
Filed under: uncultured bacterium
Lineage: Bacteria
Description: bacterial SSU rRNA
Rfam family: Bacterial small subunit ribosomal RNA
Source: RNAcentral
ACUCCUACGGGAGGGCAGCAGUAGGGAAUCUUCCACAAUGGGCGCAAGCCUGAUGGAGCAACACCGCGUGAGUGAAGAAGGGUUUCGGCUCGUAAAGCUCUGUUGUUAAAGAAGAACACGUAUGAGAGUAACUGUUCAUACGUUGACGGUAUUUAACCAGAAAGUCACGGCUAACUACGUGCCAGCAGCCGCGGUAAUACGUAGGUGGCAAGCGUUAUCCGGAUUUAUUGGGCGUAAAGAGAGUGCAGGCGGUUUUCUAAGUCUGAUGUGAAAGCCUUCGGCUUAACCGGAGAAGUGCAUCGGAAACUGGAUAACUUGAGUGCAGAAGAGGGUAGUGGAACUCCAUGUGUAGCGGUGGAAUGCGUAGAUAUAUGGAAGAACACCAGUGGCGAAGGCGGCUACCUGGUCUGCAACUGACGCUGAGACUCGAAAGCAUGGGUAGCGAACAGGAUUAGAUACCCCUGGUAGGAUAGCG